RNAcentral lists this ribosomal RNA (254 nucleotides) under uncultured bacterium. RNAcentral describes it as "partial 16S ribosomal RNA". It matches the Rfam family "Bacterial small subunit ribosomal RNA", at positions 524 to 776 of the family's 1533-position model. The record is from RNAcentral.
UACGGGGGGAGCAAGCGUUGUUCGGAUUUACUGGGCGUAAAGGGCGCGUAGGCGGUCAGCACAGGUCAGUUGUGAAAUCUCCGGGCUUAACUCGGAAAGGUCGACUGAUACUGUGCGACUAGAGUGCGGAAGGGGCAACUGGAAUUCCAGGUGUAGCGGUGAAAUGCGUAGAUAUCUGGAGGAAUACCGGUGGCGAAGGCGGCAUCCUGGACCGACAUUGACGCUGAUGAGCGAAAGCUAGGGGAGCAAACGGG